Callithrix jacchus (white-tufted-ear marmoset) is the source of this 3131-nucleotide long non-coding RNA. The record is from Ensembl. NCBI's taxonomy places the organism in Eukaryota, Metazoa, Chordata, Mammalia, Primates, Cebidae.
AUGCUUGGGGGGUCCAAAAGCUCAAAGCACUUUCUCUUCUUAUCUCAUCUCUGCAGGUCCACCCUUGCCCGUGGAAGCAGAUGGAAUGGAGAGGAAUUUCACCCUGGCCUCCUUCACACUAGCCCCGUGACUCAAAUGAAUGAAGAAGUGAAUCCAAACCUGGAAGUGGAUAUUUUUAAAAAAAGUCCCAUCAUCAUUUUGGGAGCUGAGAUGUCCAAGUGUCACAGAGGAGGAUUUCUCAAUGAGGAACUGACCAGCAAGGGAGAAAAAUACCCUUUACAAACACUUCCUGCUAGAAGUCAAAUGGCCCUUGCCUUGCAUCUCCAGGGAUGACGGCCUGGAUGAGCCGCACUGAGCAGGUGCUGUUUCCCAGCACAGACGCCCUGCUGUGUCCUGACGGUCCCACAUUGCCCUCAAUCUGAAGGUGUGGAUAAUUAAGGUAAUGAACACUUUUCCACUAGUUGCUGAAAGCCUCAUUAAUUUACACACAUGUUGCCGCAGGCAAAUUUUGGCGUCAAGGGUGGGAGGAUCAACAAAAAUAACUUCAGAAAUUCAUUAAUCAGACUUAGUCAAACAUGUUGUUUGGAACUGAGUGUUCUUAUCCUGUGAUGGUCAGAGGAGGAUUAGAUUUUUUUUUUUUUCCCCAAAGACACGAAAGGGACUUCUUAAGCAAUAUUUGGGAACAUCUAGGUUAUUGUAUUGGCAUUUAUGACUCUGGUGGUUGACGCUAAUGGAAUCUGUCCAAAGAUUUCAGUGUGGAGGAUUCCAUAAAUGCUGAAUAUGCUACAGUGGAUGAUUGGGGUUUCUAAGUAUGGCAGAGGGAAAAAAUGAUCAUGAGAUCACAGAGAGAAACAUACCCAGUGAGGACAGAGAUGACUAAUGCCACCAAAUACUCAUUUUCUCCCUGACAUGUCAUAGGCGACCUUGAAGUCAGGUCGGAGCUACAGAAUUAUCUGCUGGUUUGCUUCCCAGCCCUCUCCUUUUUUUGUUGUUGUGGUAGGCUUGGAGGACUCUAUCCCAGAUGACAAAAUGCAAGAGGAGAACUUUUGGACCCAUCCUGGACUUUGUGUGCAUGAAAAAUAAAGUUGUAUUAUGUUAAGCCACAGAGAUUUCCUGACUGAUCAGUUACUGCAGCAGUCUACCAUUCCUGACAAAUGCAUCAGCCGCUUCAUUUAAGGCUAAGCACAUUUUCUUUUGAAUAUGUUGAUUAGGCCAGUUGUCCCGUGACAACCUCAUGAGCAGAGUGUCUGAAUUCCAGCAUGCCUUUCCAGACGAUCUUUCAUGAACAAGAUGGGGUAUUCUCUGAAUAAACUAGGGUCAUGGGCAAUGGAUAAGAAAACAUCUAAGCUACUUAAAUAAGGAUCUACCCUAAAAGGGUGGAUUAGCAAAUAAACAUGAACCUUAAAAGAGGAUAUUGGCUGGGUGCAGUGGCUCACGCCUAUAAUCCCAGCACUUUGGGAGGCUGAGGUGGUGGAUCACCUGAGGUUAGGAGUUCGAGACCAGCCUGACCAACAUGGAGUUCUGUCUCUACUAAAAAUAAACUAGCCAGGUAUGGUGGCGCAUGCCUGUAAUCCCAGCUACUUAGGAGGCUGAGGCAGGAGAAUCGCUUGAACCUGGGAGGCGGAGGAUGUGGUGAGCCGAGAUCGUACCACUGUACUCUAGCCUGGGCAAGAAGAGUGAAACUCUCUCUCUCUCAAAAAAAAAAAAAAAAAAAAAACCCACAAAACCCACAGUAUAUUAAUACAUUCCCUAUUCAGUGUCAUUCAACACUUUAAACAAUGGCUUCAGAGACAAUAGAGACACCCUGCUUUUUAAGUUUGUCUGUGCCACAGAGAAAUGACAGGCUGAGUAUCUUGCCUGACAGAUUCAGAACACAAAUAAACUCCAGUAGGCCAGACCAUGGGCCUAAAAUUACAAGAUGAGAGAAAAGCCUCUCAUAUAAAUGUGUAUGUAUGUUAAUUUGAACUGCAGAUCACAAGAGAGGAGGGAUGAAGUUUGAUGUAUUUUGAAAAUAGCUAAGUAGACCACUAUUUUUAGAAGAUGAGGUAAAAGUCAAUGGGAGAUAGGACUGAAAGUGGUGUGAGGCCUGCAAGUGGAGAGCCCUGAAUUCCAUGCCUAGGAGUUCAGGCAAUGGGAAGGCAUCAACAGUGUUUGAGAGAGGAAGCGACAUGAUUUAAUUUAGUUUUUUUUUUUUUUAAAACACUUCUUUUCAUUUCCAAGGUCCACUAUCUCCUUUCUCUCCAGUUGGUUGGAGGAUACCUGUGAGGGGCGUGGUCAUUUGUUAAGUUUCAGGCACUAAUACAUUCACUGAUGCAUUUAACCCUCACAACUAUGAGAGGUAGGUUCAACUAUACUCAUUUUACAGAUGAAAAAGCUGAGGCUCAGGGACUUUAUAAAAUUUAUCCAAAAGCUCUCAGCCCCUCUUGGACUGGAUAACAUGGUGUGUAAAUAGGAAGCCCCAGUGGUUCUGCAGGUUGAGUUUCCCUUAUCUGAAAUGCUUGGAAGUAGAAGAGUUUCUGAUUUUGGAAUUUUUUGCAUUUUGAAGUAUUUGCCUAUAUAAAAUGAGAUAUCUUGGGGUAGGACCUGAGACUAAUGUGAAACUCAUUUGUGUUUCAUAUACACCUCAUUUCCAUAGCCUGAGGUAGAUAAUUUUAUAGAACAUCUUAAGUAAUUUUCUGGACAAAACCAAGUUUUUGUUUUGUGGGUGUAGUUGUGUUGGAAAAUCUGGGUGUGUGCAGGAAAGAUACAUCGCAGCUGAAAGGGGCUAGCAGGACCUUUUUCCAUUUGGUAAGUUCAAUAAUCUGUGUUAUGUGCCUGGCUUUUGAUGGCACAUUCUGCCACAUAAGGUCAGGUGUGAAAUUUUCCACUUGUGGCAUCAUGGUGGCCCUCAAGAAGUUUUAGAUUUUGGGGCAUUUUGCAUUUCAGAUUUUCAGAUUGGGGUGCUGACCUGCAUAAACAUUGUAGUACCAGGAAGAAAGCCAUACGGACGAGAACAGAUCUGGACCCUUGUAGAGAAGGGGAAACAGAUCCCUGAUCAAGCCUGACUUGAAGGCCAUCCUACUGCCGGUCUUUUUAGUUGUGUGCAUGACAGUGAGCCAAUUUGAGUUGGGAUUUCUAGACAAGCACACUAA